This 163-nucleotide ribosomal RNA is filed under the name Potamogeton berchtoldii subsp. gemmiparus x Potamogeton vaseyi. Its description in RNAcentral is "5.8S ribosomal RNA". It matches the Rfam family "5.8S ribosomal RNA". Rfam says of the family: 5.8S ribosomal RNA (5.8S rRNA) is a component of the large subunit of the eukaryotic ribosome. It is transcribed by RNA polymerase I as part of the 45S precursor that also contains 18S and 28S rRNA. The record is from RNAcentral. Lineage: Eukaryota; Viridiplantae; Streptophyta; Magnoliopsida; Alismatales; Potamogetonaceae.
AGAUGACUCUCGGCAACGGAUAUCUUGGUCCUCGCAUCGAUGAAGAACGUAGCGAAAUGCGAUACUUGGUGUGAAUUGCAGAAUCCCGUGAACCAUCGAGUUUUUGAACGCAAGUUGCGCCCUAAGCUUCCGGGCCGAGGGCAAGCCUGCGUGGGCGCCAAGU